Molecule: ribosomal RNA, 315 nt
Filed under: Triticum aestivum (bread wheat)
Lineage: Eukaryota; Viridiplantae; Streptophyta; Magnoliopsida; Poales; Poaceae
Description: partial small subunit ribosomal RNA
Source: RNAcentral
AUGUGUGUUACAAGAAUGAUUGUUCGGGAAUUGAGUUCAACCAAAUUGUUUCAUUCACAAAAGCAAUGGUGUAUUGCACGACGAGUGUUCAACGUGCACAAGUACCCUGUUUUCUAUUUUGAUAGUUGUGAUGACACUUCUGGUUUGGUGCUUCUUUUUGUGUCUGUAGGAAAACAAAGUUGCACUGAUUUGACAAGGACGGGGGCAGUGGAAGGAGCGGGGCAUGCGUACAGUCAGGCUUCUCAAACGGACAACCAAGGUCCACCUUGUCAUGCGACAUGCCAAGAGCCUCAGGAUCUGCGGCAAGCACCUUGA